Molecule: ribosomal RNA, 424 nt
Filed under: Verrucomicrobiota bacterium
Lineage: Bacteria; Pseudomonadati; Verrucomicrobiota
Description: Verrucomicrobia bacterium partial 16S ribosomal RNA
Rfam family: Bacterial small subunit ribosomal RNA
Source: RNAcentral
UGAGGAAUAUUGGUCAAUGGACGAGAGUCUGAACCAGCCAAGUAGCGUGCAGGAUGACGGCCCUAUGUGUUGUAAUCUUCUUUUGUUUGGGAAUAAUCGACAUUACGUGUAAUGUUUUGCAUGUACCAUUCGAAUAAGGACCGGCUAAUUCCGUUCCAGCAGCCGCGGUAAUACGGAAGGUUCGGGCGUUAUCCGGACUUAUUGGGUUUAAAGGGAGCGUAGGCCGUUUGGUAAGCGUGUUGUGAAAUGUAGGAGCUCAACUUCUAGAUUGCAGCGCGAACUGUCAGACUUGAGUGCGCACAACGUAGGCGGAAUUCAUGGUGUAGCGGUGAAAUGCUUAGAUAUCAUGAAGAACUCCGAUUGCGAAGGCAGCUUACGGGAGCGCAACUGACGCUGAAGCUCGAAGGUGCGGGUAUCGAACAGG